RNAcentral lists this ribosomal RNA (428 nucleotides) under uncultured bacterium. Its description in RNAcentral is "bacterial SSU rRNA". It matches the Rfam family "Bacterial small subunit ribosomal RNA", at positions 355 to 774 of the family's 1533-position model. The record is from RNAcentral.
UGGGGAAUAUUGGACAAUGGGGGGAACCCUGAUCCAGCCAUGCCGCGUGUGUGAAGAAGGCCUUAUGGUUGUAAAGCACUUUAAGCGAGGAGGAGGCUCCUGUAGUUAAUACCUACAGAGAGUGGACGUUACUCGCAGAAUAAGCACCGGCUAACUCUGUGCCAGCAGCCGCGGUAAUACAGAGGGUGCGAGCGUUAAUCGGAUUUACUGGGCGUAAAGCGUGCGUAGGCGGCUUUUUAAGUCGGAUGUGAAAUCCCCGAGCUUAACUUGGGAAUUGCAUUCGAUACUGGGAAGCUAGAGUAUGGGAGAGGAUGGUAGAAUUCCAGGUGUAGCGGUGAAAUGCGUAGAGAUCUGGAGGAAUACCGAUGGCGAAGGCAGCCAUCUGGCCUAAUACUGACGCUGAGGUACGAAAGCAUGGGGAGCAAACA